AUGGGUGAUACUGCCUCAGGAUCGGGCACGUCUGCCUCCGAUCUGGAGGCGAUGAUGGAAGAACUUGGCUUGAAGGAAGACGAUCUGGAGGACGUCGUGAUCGAAGAUGAGGAGCUUCCGGCGGAGGCAACUCCCUGGAUGGCCAUUGCUAGGGUUCACACGGAGAAAACGUACAACCAGUACUGGUUCUAUCGGAAUAUGAGGGCUGUUUGGGACUUGGCAAAGGAGGUAAAGGUUAGGCCGCUUGAGGAGAACCUGUACACUAUGCAGUUUGGGUGCCUCGGCGACUGGGAACGGGUGAUGGAGGAUGGACCAUGGACUUUCAAAGGGAAAGUUGUAGUUCUAGCACAUUAUGAUGGCUUCACUAAGCCGUCGUCAAUAGAGCUCAAUAAGAUUGAUUAUUGGAUGCAGAUCCAUGAUCUCCCCGACGCUUCUUUUCCAAGAUCAAGGCAUUGUCCGCUACGGUAG
RNAcentral lists this ribosomal RNA (468 nucleotides) under Triticum aestivum (bread wheat). RNAcentral's name for it is "partial small subunit ribosomal RNA". Lineage: Eukaryota; Viridiplantae; Streptophyta; Magnoliopsida; Poales; Poaceae. The record is from RNAcentral.